RNAcentral lists this long non-coding RNA (7533 nucleotides) under Taeniopygia guttata (zebra finch). RNAcentral describes it as "lncRNA (ENSTGUG00000018877.1)". Lineage: Eukaryota; Metazoa; Chordata; Aves; Passeriformes; Estrildidae. The record is from RNAcentral.
CCUCAUUAAAGAACAUCCACUACAUUAAUCAUUCAAUAGUCACUGAAAUAUGUCAAGAUUAACAGUAUAAAAGUACAGGUGGAAUACAGAAUCAAACAGAAAUUACUGUUUUACUUGAGACCCUCUGUACAUCAGAUGAAAGCUGAGGGAGAUAAAAAUAUAGGUGCAACUAGCAUGCUAGCUUUUGCUGCCAAUUAUGAUCAAACUACCAAAUCCUUUUGCUGUUUAUGCUUCACUAGACUGCUUCUGUUUCUGAAAGAAACAAGCCGUGUCCAAGCUGCUGAACUGAACUUAUCUAGAAAGCUUGAAAUCAGAGCUUUCCAACAUGUGCCUUUACAGUUAACAUCCACCACAAAAUUAGUACUUUCUUUAAGAACAUGUGUUUUAAAGUGGGAGUAUCUUUGGAACCUUUGGGUAGGUAUUUUUAGAAUCAAAACCAAACAGAAUUUGGACACUCAAAGCACUGCCUGUAUUCUGUGUUGGUGUAGCAGCCAGUAGAACAGGUCUUGGUUGACAACCAAAGCUCCUGUAAACUGACAUGAUGUUUGUAUUUUAAAGAAAACUAACUCCUGUACUGUCAUCUACUGCUGUAGGAAUUAUGUGCUUCAGAGGAUCCUGCAUUUUACACAACUCCAGAUUAUGUCCUUUUUGGAGCAAAUGGAACCCGUUCAUUUACCAGUACUUUAAAUACAAGGUGCUAUUUAGAAAAGACCCAAUGCUGGACUCCCUUUCCUUUGGGACCUGCAACACAGCUCCAUGUUUCUAUUAAGCAGUUGCUGGAGUAUUCUUGAAUAGAAUUGGAAUGUGAGAGCAAGUCCAGUGUUAAUUGUAAACAUGGCAUGAAUUCAGUGACUAAGGGCAGCAGACCAGGUCCAAAAGUUAUCAGUUUGCAUUUGACCUUAAAUAUUGGCCUUCCACAAGUAUGUCUAUUUAACAGGUUUGUCCCCUACUGGUGUAUCUUAUUCUUUGUGCAGUCAUUUAUAUCAGCACACAGAGAUGAGAAGAUUUAUCUGGAUCAGAGUGGUAACAUGUACUCACUUAACCCUUCUGUCCUACAUAUUCAUCAGUCCUUUUCCUUCUCUUGUUCUCAGAUUACAUCUAAGAUGACAUUUCGGACAAGAGAGCAGAAGAAAAGAUCAUUAUUCUCUGCAGCACAAGGGCCAGAUUUUCCAUUGCUUUCCACCGUGCCAGGGAAAGACAGUUGGCUUCCCUGUGGCUCAAGAGGAGCACAGAGCAGCCCAAGUGCUUUGUGCCCCUCUUUGAGCCAGCUCCAAGGACAGCAGGAGAUGAGGUGGGAGGUCAGGUGUAUGGCUCAUAAUCUGUAACCUAAACAAAUGCCAUCAGCUGGGCUGCAUCACGUACAUGUGCCCUCUGAAUGCCAAAAACUCAGUAAGCACACAGAAACUUUUUCAGGACGCCUGAGCUGUAGGAGACAGUUUUCUCUCGGCCAUUCACAGAAAGGGACACAGCCUUGAGUUGAUCUGCUUGGUUCAGCAGCAUUAGCAGGCUCCCUUACUACACAAGAGCUCAUCUCAUUACCCAAAAGCUCAUCUCCCUUGCAAGCAACAAUAAAAUUCCUUGAAUGCCAAAAAAACUAACUCUUGCUCUUUCUUGCCCAGGCAGUGCCUAGUAGUGUCUUUGAAUCCAAGUACAGUUUUAGCAAAGUAAUUGAAGUGAUAAAUCAGGUAAAAUCUACAGCAGAGUGACAUGGGGAUCAUGUUGAUUGUUACUGAACUGAAUUGCAGCAAACAGGAAAACAGCAAGCAGACCUGCUCUUUCACCCCACACUGCAGGUAAAGAAGAACCCAAGCCAUAUUUGACUAGCAGGAACUUCUACAGCAAAAUUUAAAACCUAAUGUAAUUGUAUUCUUGGAAUGCUCUUCACACCAGUGUUGCAGUGCCAGAGGGAGGCAAAGAGAAGUUUUCGAUUUAUGUUUGAAAUUAUGAAAAAUCUCAACCAACAUUAAGGGUGAGAUUUGAAGUAUUUAAAGAAUAUAGAGUUUGUAUGCAGUGCUCCCCUGUGAUGCCUGACACCCCAGAUGGGAAUCCUAAGGCUUAGGCAGGAUCAGUCAAAUGCUUCUCCUGACAAAACUGUUCCAAAACUCUGUUUCUGUUUUUCUGACCUGUGUUCUCAUGUAAUGAUAAUUUGCAAGCUGUGGGUAUUCAGCUUCAUUGAAGAGACAAAUAAAAAGCUUUCUGCUUAAACAAAACAGUAACAGUUUGAGCAGUUGGGAGGAAGAACUCACGCCUCAUCUCUUCUCUGCAGAACACAGCCUUACUUCUCAUACUCUAUUUUGAGCCAUUUCAGCAUCAGUGUAUGCCUUGGUUUUGACCUAUUAUGGGAGGCUACUACACAUGAUCUGUGCACUCAACAUAUUUCACCAUUUUAAUGAGCUAAUACGCAUUGUUAUCAACAGCAUAUUUCUUGUUUUAAUACCUCGAUCCUGACAGUCUGAAGUAUGUCUUUAAUAGCUCAGAAACAGUCCUGCUGUGAGGGGAAUGAGGCAGUGCAAAGCAAGCCUGAAAGCUUGUUCCAGCUCACCAGCACCUCGUGCCAGCAGAGCACUGCAGGCUGAGUGACAUGCAGGGCUUGGUUUCAGACAGGUGGCAGAGCUGGGAAGGCAGAAAUCUUCCAGGCAUAACUCCCAUUAACCUCUGUACCCGUUUCCAAAGGGAACUGUCAUUUCCCUGUUGGUAAGUUUUCAUCCGGGCUGCUGCUGACAAGCCAUCAAAGCAUUUAGCCAAUCCUGCUCAUAGCACCAGUUGUACAGUCGCAGGGGAGAGGACAGGAGCUAGACCUGAGAAGGCUUUUGGCCUCCUGCUGUGCUUAGAUUAUGAUUUAAUGCUAAAAAGUUGGCAUGGCAACCAAAUGCUUGGCAACAAAAGGCCAAGGAAUGGGUCCAGAAGAGGGCCAAGCAAAAAGCACUGCCCAGCUCUUCCGCGGGCAGAUCUGUGCCCUGCAUACCCAUCUUGUCAGCGCUUCUGUAGCAGCCAGGGUUACAGCAGAAGGCAUUAUUAAUAAGCUAGGCAGGUCUGCAAUAAGUGAAUAGCAAAUUUCUCCAAAACACUUGAAAUGGACCCUGGCGCCUCAUUCAGGCUCCUAUUGCUCCGUCCACGAAUUGCCACACGUUGCCAGGAGACAGUCUUGCUCCACAGGAGGACUCGCCACUGGCUGCCAUUGUGCUGUCUCUCUGUCCCCCUCCUCCCCUGUCCUGCUCUUGCUCUCUCCAAUAACAGAAGCCUGGCAGUGCUCUGUUUCUCAGUUCUGACACAAUAACUUAUUUUAAUUUGAAAGUUUUCAAAAGCUUUUUGGUUUCUCUGCAGUGAAUAACUGAGCAAAAUUCCCAGUCUGCACAACUCUGGGCUUGCGACACGCAGGCUGGAAAAGGGAUGCAAGUGCCUUAGAGGGUAGGGCUGGUCUAAACAGGGAUUAGUGACCACUUUUUUGCUGCGUGAGCACCUUGGUUGUGUCUCUUGAAGUCCAAGAUAUUAAGUUUGGGCACCUGGUUAGGAUACACAAGUAACAUUUAGUCUCACUUGUGCUGGGCACUUUCUGUAGUCCAUUAAAGCAUGCCCUUGGCUAUUUAGAUGUUCCCAGGCUGUUUUAGAUCAUACAGGGCCUCAGAAACCUCUCUUGCCUUUGGAUAUUGGCAAGCUUAGUCCCAUGCACAUCAGAAAAGAAGCCAUUUAUUCUUCAGCCUUCCUGAGGCACUUCCCUUAUACCCCUAAGGAAACCUUUUAAGUAUAGACUCAGUGCGGGCCGAUACAGCGUCACCUUCCGAAGUCUGUUGGUGCCAGUGCCAAUCUCUUGCGUUGGAGAGUUGGGCUGCUAAUCACAUAAGUGAAGUUAAAGGUUAAUCAGUUCCAGGGUUGGUGUGCCAAAUACUGUGAGCCAAGGAUCAGUUUAUGCUGCCAUUUGGCAUCAUCUUCCAUGGUCAGAACAAACUGAAAGGUGGCUGUUGAGGAGGAGGCUGCUGUUGUGACAGAGACCUCGGCACUGAAAGGCUCCAACACAACACUGUGGUCAGGGUGUAACUGGAGAACACAGUACUUCAGCUUCCUCGAGGACCUUGGAAAGCAGACAGAAAAUGAGCAGGGAUUGUAAUGUGCUCUUUGCAGGGACUUAAUGACACAGCCUGUCCCUGUGCCUGUGGGGAGGGCAAUUCCUUUGCCUGUUAUUCUCAAUGCUGCAUCCAGACUGAAGCAUCAUCCUGUCUCUACUUGGAUAAGAAAUACUUCACUGUCUGCAAGUAAAUUAAACUGAGUGUCCACUUUUUGUCACUCCAAUACUUCUUUUCCUAAUUCCAGCAUUCCUUUUCUCUGUCUGAUACUUCACCAUCUCUCCACUUUUCCCUCCCUAAUGUCAGAGAUUUCCAAAUGCUCUUAAACAGACACGUAUCAGCUCUUUCCCUCCAUAUCAUGUAACACAAACUGACACAAAGAAAAUAACUUUAAUUAAGUGGACAGGCUAAUUAUUCAUUUCACCAGGAUUUCAAUUUUCUGUUUCCAAUUCACUCUGGCACCAUGGCACAUUCCCCUCAUUCUUCCUUCCCAUCACUAGGAGCAGUGACAAAUGUGUUACAUCUUGUUGCUCUUCUGAGACUCCGCAGUUGAAAAGAACAUUGGAAAAUGAAGCAUCAACCUCACUGUUUCCAGCUUUCACAAUCUGAACAGAGGAGGCUGUCUCGUGAUCCAAGAGCACAGGAGUGGAUUGCCUAUCAGCAAUGCCAGCUCCAAGCCUUGCUAGUUGAAGAUAAAUAGUUGAGAUGUUCCCUUGUACAAAAUGGGAGGGGAAUUUCAGACUACUCAGGCAGCAGGGUGACUCUCCAGGGUGCCAGGUGAUGCAGUGCAGCUGACCAGUGUUGUGGUGCACUUAAAGCUGCUCAUUUCACCCUCUCUCACUAUGCAGUCCUAAUGACCCUGUUAGGAAACCAAAUUAGCUGUGCUUAUAACCCUCACUUACAGCUGAUUUGUUUGUAGAGCUCCAUGAGAUAAUUGUAGCUUCCUCUGGUUCAUGUGAACUUACUUCCCAACUCUAUUUUUAUGAGCAUGUGGCACUACAUACUGAAAUCUUUCAGACACACCAGAGACAGACCAUGGGCCUGGCACAGACAAACUGCAGGUCCCCCAGUGUGUGGAAGGGUUAUGUUUGCCUGUCACUGCCUGCCCAUCCUUCUCCUUUUGUCUUUGAUUAAAGAUACAAGCCACACACUGACCGGCACGUGGACAGCCAGCAAAGUAAGUGCAAGGAGGUUCACAAGCACACACACAUACAGCUGAGGCUUUGUUCCAGUCCUGUUUACUCGCAGGGCAAACAGUUGAGCAUUGUUUCUGUUUGACAAAUUGUAACUGUCCAGCAAGGAGAGAUCUAGUUCCAGCUGGUUAGAGCUGCUUGCAUGUCUUACCUCCUCCCUCUCCCUAUUCCAUAACUCAUGAAUCCAUCUUACCUAGGGACAGAAAGAACAAGUACAACUACUUGUUAGAUUCCUUCCCACUUUGAAUUGACACUGACCUCAUCAGGGUCCCUACUCCAGCGUGGCUCAAAAGGUGAACCCAGACCUGCAGGUGUCCCAAAGGCCUUAGGGUCCUGCACUUGUGUUAUAAUGAGGAGCAGUUUAGAGUGACCCUUUCCUAAUCCCCACCAAGUGCUCUCAGCUUGUCAGGCACUGGAGAACAGCAGACACUUGAUAGUGUUGGGGCACAGCCACAGGAAUCUCUGUGUAACCCAAUUACUUCUUUGCCUUGUGUAGCACCUGAUGCAGCAGAGACUGAUCGUCCAGCACUAAAUGUCAUGUACGACUCUUGAUCCCAGUCUCAGAAAAUGAGUAUCAGAGCACUCUAUUGUCAGAACAAAGCCGCUCAUUUUCUGUUGGACAAAGUAGGGCCAGAGUGCCACUAAGUGCUGGAUUUACAUCCUCUUUCCAUCAAAUAAUUUAUGUAACCUUUUUCAAGACAACUUACUACUUUAGAAGGACAUUGAGGUUCUAGAAAUGCAAAACCAAACUGAAAUUCCUGGCUUAGUGAGACUCAAAGUGUUACUCCUAAAGACAUCAGUGUCAUAUGAACUCCAUACAAAGAGGUGCUUGCUAGCUUCACUGUUCAGUCAGAAAGGUGGAUUCAGAAACUCUAGCAUUUUCCAAUUUAUCCUACUUAUGUAGUGCUUCAUAACUUUCUGUUUCAGUUUUUCCCUUCUGUAAUUAAAGGCCAGUGUUCUUUACCUAGUGCUGAAAUGCCUCUGAAUAGACACACACAGAGAGGGAAGUCUUUGAGAGCAUAAUUUAAAGCUAAAUUGUCCCAUCAUCCAGGACCCUGACCUCUGGCUCCUGACCAAACAGUAGGCCUGGAUACUGAGUGCACAGUUCAUGUGUAUAUAGUUUGUGCUUGUAUAUGUAGUUAAAGCAGUCCAAGUACUAUACAAUGUGUCGCAAAAUUCAAAUGUAAUAAACAAAACAUAAGCCCCAAAGUUCUUUAUUUGUUUAUCCCACCAUCAGUACACAAACCAAGGCUGAGUGCACUGUUAACAGUUCUGCUGUAUUGCAUUUAAUGGGCUGCUUUAAGUUUCUUUGCAUGCCAGCCUUGUGUUCAAGAACACUGAUUUGCCAUUUAGAAGGGGAAAUUAUUCUUGGGCCCUGUGAGGGAAGGCAUGCCCAGCUUUGUAUGAGCAGAUCUCAUGAUUGCCCCUCUCGCUUGUUCCUCCAGUUGCUAAGAAUUCUGUAGAUAAACUUCACUUUAUCUGGAGGGAGGAAGUUGCUGCUGGAUGCAGUCAGGAAGGACAGCAGCCUAUUGCACACAGCAAUAGCUUUAGAGGAACAGUCAUUUUCCCAUGCAGAUGGGCAAACAAGGCAGUUAACCACCCGUGUGCCAUGCCACCCAUUCGGCCUGUACCGCUCCACAAACUGGAAGGAAAGCCUUUUCCCUUAUCAUUUAAAGGGGGGAAGUUAAAUUAGUGAUGCUCAUUGGUAGCCUGAGCUGACAGAAAUAGAAAUAAUAAAAUUAGAGGCUGUGAGGCAGGGACUCCGUACCUUGUACUGCAAAGGAAUCAAGCCUUUGCCUCUGCUCUCAGCUCCCCAUAUAACCAUAACUUGUUGGGCUUAGUGAUUUGCCAAGAACACAGUGCCCAGGAGGACAGAUAGCUGCUGGUCCAGUUCAGCUGCCAAGAGUCAAGGCAGCUGGAGAAAGCACUGUAUGCUCAGGACUCGAUCACACUUAAGAGUCACUUGGGCUUUCUUUGGUGGGCACUUGGAAGAUGAAGCUGAUCUGAAAGAAUGCAGACAGCCAGGACAUUCUCUUUUCACAUGGGCUCUGCUCAGUCAUCCUUUCUUUUGCUCAAGUAGGAAGUCUGAGGGCAAGUGAUAGCAUCUUCCAUAUCGGGCUGCCAAGCCCUCUAUAUUUGUCAAAAUUCUACUUUUGACAGAUGGCUUCUGCAUCAGUAAAGCUCACAGUGACCAUCUCUAGGCUCAGAUUAAGUGGCAACAUCACCAAGCUACAAAGGUAAAAAGUAUCUCCUAGUUUCAGCGGCUAAGCAGCUGAAUU